Molecule: ribosomal RNA, 545 nt
Filed under: uncultured bacterium
Lineage: Bacteria
Description: partial 16S ribosomal RNA
Rfam family: Bacterial small subunit ribosomal RNA
Source: RNAcentral
UGGGGAAUUUUGGACAAUGGGCGAAAGCCUGAUCCAGCAAUGCCGCGUGUGUGAAGAAGGCCUUCGGGUUGUAAAGCACUUUUGUCCGGAAAGAAAUCCUUGGCUCUAAUACAGUCGGGGGAUGACGGUACCGGAAGAAUAAGCACCGGCUAACUACGUGCCAGCAGCCGCGGUAAUACGUAGGGUGCAAGCGUUAAUCGGAAUUACUGGGCGUAAAGCGUGCGCAGGCGGUUUGCUAAGACCGAUGUGAAAUCCCCGGGCUCAACCUGGGAACUGCAUUGGUGACUGGCAGGCUAGAGUAUGGCAGAGGGGGGUAGAAUUCCACGUGUAGCAGUGAAAUGCGUAGAGAUGUGGAGGAAUACCGAUGGCGAAGGCAGCCCCCUGGGCCAAUACUGACGCUCAUGCACGAAAGCGUGGGGAGCAAACAGGAUUAGAUACCCUGGUAGUCCACGCCCUAAAACGAUGUCAACUAGUUGUUGGGGAAUUCAUUUCCUUAGUAACGUAGCUAACGCGUGAAGUUGACCGCCUGGGGAGUACGGUCGCAA